AAAGCAUCUAAGCGUGAAGCCAGCCACAAGAUGAGACUUCCCAUUCGCAAGAAGUAAGACCCCCGCAAUGUUAGCGGGUUGAUAGGUCAGAGAUGUAAGUGCAGCGAUGCAUUCAGUCGACUGAUACUAAUAGGUCGAGGACUUAAUUUC
RNAcentral lists this ribosomal RNA (150 nucleotides) under Bacillota bacterium. RNAcentral describes it as "partial 23S ribosomal RNA". It matches the Rfam family "Bacterial large subunit ribosomal RNA", at positions 2774 to 2925 of the family's 2925-position model. The record is from RNAcentral. Lineage: Bacteria; Bacillati; Bacillota.